RNAcentral lists this long non-coding RNA (530 nucleotides) under Durio zibethinus. RNAcentral's name for it is "long non-coding RNA (DZIB_LNC001265)". The record is from RNAcentral. Lineage: Eukaryota; Viridiplantae; Streptophyta; Magnoliopsida; Malvales; Malvaceae.
AAAACCCCAAGAAGUUUAAGCUCUUGUGUUAAUCUAAAUUAAACAAGUUUUACUAGGUGUGUUUAUAAAUCCAAUCAAUGGAAAAGGAAAUCAAUUGAAUUAUUAUAUAGAUAACAAUUUAUGACAUAUAUCUUAAUGAAAAAUUAAUAUUGUGGAAAUUAAACCUUAUCUUGAAAUUGAUUGGAGGAGAACCCUUUUUCUUUUUCUUUUUUUUUUUUUUGGUUUAAAUUCUUUUUCAAUCCUCUCUAUGCAUAAUAAAUAUUUUUGUAUUUCGGCAAACACCCACCUCUAUUAUUGCCAUCCUCGAAUUAAGUGAUUCCCGAAAAUGACCUUACAAAAAAUUAUUAAAAGGGAAAAAUGAUUGCAUUACCCUCGUGUGGUGAGAAUAGAACUGGUCCAGCAAAUGCUGCUUGCACGGGCAAAACAGUCUUUUGGUUCAAAGACUUCGAGUCACAACUCAAAUUACCCAGCUUUAGCUUAAUAACUCAAGUCAAUCUUUGUAAAAAUGUAGCCAAAGAAGAGAAGAAAAC